UACGAAGGGGGCUAGCGUUGCUCGGAAUCACUGGGCUUAAAGCGCGUGUAGGCGGCCCGGCGCGUCGGAUGCUGAAAUCCCCCGGCUCAACCGGGGAAGGGGCGCCGAUACGGCCGGGCUGGAGGGGGGUAGGGGGCGCUGGAACUCACGGUGGAGCGGUGAAAUGCGUUGAGAUCGUGAGGAACGCCCGCGGCGAAAGCGAGCGCCUGGACCCUUUCUGACGCUGAGACGCGAAAGCCAGGGGAGCAAACGGG
This 254-nucleotide ribosomal RNA is filed under the name uncultured bacterium. RNAcentral's name for it is "partial 16S ribosomal RNA". It matches the Rfam family "Bacterial small subunit ribosomal RNA", at positions 524 to 776 of the family's 1533-position model. The record is from RNAcentral.